This 65-nucleotide transfer RNA is filed under the name Fukomys damarensis (Damara mole-rat). It matches the Rfam family "tRNA". From Rfam's summary of the family: Transfer RNA (tRNA) molecules are approximately 80 nucleotides in length. Lineage: Eukaryota; Metazoa; Chordata; Mammalia; Rodentia; Bathyergidae. The record is from Rfam by way of RNAcentral.
GAUGUAGCUCAAUAGUAGAGUACUUGCUUAGUGUGCAAGAGGACCUGGGUUCAAUCUCCAAUAUC